Molecule: long non-coding RNA, 1058 nt
Organism: Vespula pensylvanica (western yellowjacket)
Lineage: Eukaryota; Metazoa; Arthropoda; Insecta; Hymenoptera; Vespidae
Exons: 3
Source: RefSeq, a predicted model, not a curated record
UGACGAAGACUUAAUGAUGAAAUUGCGAAGUGGGGAUAUUCGACAACAAAAUCGGCUCUUUGACCGACUUUGACAAUUACUGGUUCAGUUCUACUUUGUAUUUCGACGAGAGAACUUCGAAAUUUUCGCUGGAUACCGUUCGUACAAGCUUCAACGAUGACUUAAAAAGUUCGUUGCAAUCGCGCGCGUUGCAACGAUGUAAUCGAGUGUUAGUAUCGCUAAAAUAAAUUUAUCGCGAGGUAGAAGCAGUGUUUGUUCGUUCGCGUUUCGCGAUUUAAACCAUAAGUGUAAACCAUAAGUGUCCUUGCGUAGACUGCGUGCAAUGCAGUCGAUAGAGUCAGUGUUUGUUCGCAAAGUUUUUUGCUCUUCUAACAGUCGUACAGACUGUACUUAUAAAAGAUAAUAGAGUUCCGCGAAUUAAAUUCAGUGAUCGUUCGUUAAUAAAUAACUAUCGCGAAAUAGAGUCAGUGCAUCACCGAAGAGGAUCUCGACCAACUUCGAUAUCGACCUACCUCAUUUUCAACCAACUACGAAUCAUCCACCCUCAAUUUCGACCUAAAUCGCGGACGAGUGUUUUGGAGCCAUCGCAGAACUUCUUAAGUAGUAAGUGAAUUUUUAAGUUCCUCCGAUCACUCGAUCAUGUCAAGGACAACAAAGGUCCGAAUCGGCACGAGUGAUUGGUUGUAAUUAAUAAGUAAAAGAGCAUUGAGUGACCACUAGUAAAUUUCUUUCGAUUUUUCAUUUCGAAAUUUCACAGGAUGGUUUUCGAGUUUCGUUAGAUUUAUUAGUUUUCUUCUAGGUUUUAGAAUAAAGGUAGUUCAUGAUUGUUAUCGAAUAUUCUAUAGUAGUUGUUAGUGCACGAAACAAAGAAGAGGCUAUAUGCCAAAGAGGUCCUCACAAAUUGUGGCUCAAGAGGGUAACUAUUAGACUAUUGAGUUAUUUUCGAAGGUUCGACAAAACUCUUCGAAAAUGGCUCUUAGUCAUAUUUUAAUUUUACUAUGUGGUCGUUCAAAAUGCUCUUAUGUAAUAAUAAUGCUGAUUUCAGAAACUCGGACGAA